RNAcentral lists this ribosomal RNA (540 nucleotides) under uncultured Desulfobacteraceae bacterium. RNAcentral's name for it is "bacterial SSU rRNA". It matches the Rfam family "Bacterial small subunit ribosomal RNA", at positions 9 to 523 of the family's 1533-position model. The record is from RNAcentral. Lineage: Bacteria; Pseudomonadati; Thermodesulfobacteriota; Desulfobacteria; Desulfobacterales; Desulfobacteraceae.
GAGUUUGAUCCUGGCUCAGAAUGAACGCUGGCGGCGUGCUUAACACAUGCAAGUCGUACGAGAAACCCCGGCUUGCCGGGGGAGUAAAGUGGCGCACGGGUGAGUAACGCGUGGGUAAUCUACCCUCGAAUUGGGGAUAACACACCGAAAGGUGUGCUAAUACCGAAUAAGACCACGACCUCCACGGGGGUUGCGGUCAAAGAUGGCCUCUGCUUGCAAGCUGUCGUUUGAGGAUGAGCCCGCGUACCAUUAGCUUGUUGGUGGGGUAAUGGCCUACCAAGGCAACGAUGGUUAGCUGGUCUGAGAGGAUGGCCAGCCACACUGGAACUGGAACACGGUCCAGACUCCUACGGGAGGCAGCAGUGAGGAAUUUUGCGCAAUGGGGGAAACCCUGACGCAGCAACGCCGCGUGAGUGAAGAAGGCCUUCGGGUUGUAAAGCUCUGUCAAGUGGGAAGAACCUUUUUCGGCCGAACAAGCCGAGAAACUGACGGUACCGCUGAAGGAAGCACCGGCUAACUCCGUGCCAGCAGCCGCGGUAA